UUGAUCCUGGCUCAGAAUCAACGCUGGCGGCGUGCCUAACACAUGCAAGUCGAACGAGAAAGUUUGGUGUUGUAGCAAUACAAUACUGGAUGAGUAAAGUGGCGUACGGGUGAGUAACACGUGGAUAACCUACCUCCGAAUGGGGAAUAUCCCUGGGAAACCGGGGCUAAUACCGCAUAACAUCUUAGUACUUCGGUAUUGGGAUUGAAACCUGGAAACGGGGUUUGGAGAGGGGUCCGCGGCUGAUUAUCUAGUUGGUGAGGUAAUGGCCCACCAAGGCUUUGAUCGGCAGCCGGCCUUAGGGGGCGGACGGCCACACUGGAACUGAAACACGGUCCAGACUCCUACGUGAGGCAGCAGUGGGGAAUUUUGCGCAAUGGGGGAAACCCUGACGCAGCAUCGCCGCGUGGAUGAUGAAGCCCCUUGGGGUGUAAAAUCCUUUCGGCAGGUACGAAACUAGAGCGAUCUAGCGGACGGUACCUGAAGAAGAAGCCCCGGCUAACUCCGUGCCAGCAGCCGCGGUAAUU
Molecule: ribosomal RNA, 527 nt
Filed under: uncultured Acidobacteriota bacterium
Lineage: Bacteria; Pseudomonadati; Acidobacteriota
Description: bacterial SSU rRNA
Rfam family: Bacterial small subunit ribosomal RNA
Source: RNAcentral